This is a long non-coding RNA of Pseudomyrmex gracilis, 1454 nucleotides long. RefSeq lists it as uncharacterized. The record is from RefSeq and is a predicted model, not a curated record. Lineage: Eukaryota; Metazoa; Arthropoda; Insecta; Hymenoptera; Formicidae. The transcript has 3 exons.
CAAACGAAGUCUGAAUUCUGUUCUAAAGACUGAACUGUCGCUAGGCGCUCCCUAUCUGUUGGACAUGACCAUAUAUGGCUCGGUUUUGCUUCCAAGUCAUUAUCGCGGCUGGUUGAUAUCGCUCUACUCGGAACGAGCGUUCCGAGCGCGUAUCUGUAUCGUGUGCGCGCGAUAGCGCAUCAAAUCGACGAAUUCCACAAGCAAUUUCUUCGACGCGUAACGUUGACCGAUUCUCCCAAGGGGGGCUUUUGACCUUGUCUAAUACAUGCAAGGCAGACUCAAUCUCUGAGAACCGGUAGACAAUCGACGUUGUCUCGGCGCGCACGCGUUAUCGGCCGUUCGCGUUCUUGAAUCUGUUUUUUUUUUUUUUCGCAAAGGCCGCGAUCAACAACGGGCCUCGUGCGCGCGCGGAAGAGUCAAGGAUUCGAAACGCGGUCACGGCGGUUUCCCACCGCCGAGAGAGAUGAGAGCGGCUCGUAACAACGUUUAACAACCAAAAAUAGCUGUUAACUGUCUCGCCACGCUUUUAUAUCACACAUGUGUCAUUGGUAUCAAUCGCAAGGGUCACGCGCGGAAUGUUUUUUUGCAGUUUGUGCAACGAUACGAAACGCGCGCGGCGCGUAUUAAGAGAAUAUAAUAUAUUUAUUUAAAACGCAAACACACACCAAUCCGAAGAUUGGGUCAAGUGCAAUGUCCUCGAUGCAUACGGACUGUGGUUUAAGUAGGCCAGAUGCGUCAACGAAACACGCGGAAAGAUCGAUGACUUUCUUAUUAUUUUCAGGACGCGCGCCUUUUUUAGUUUCCAUUUAUUUUAAAUUCACUCUUUCUUCGUGUCUACAAACCUCUUCUAUCGACGUGCGGAGCCGAUCUCGCGACAAAAUUGACUGAUUGCCGUUUUUGUGAGAAACAGUUACGUUAUCGAAUUGAACAAAUCGAGCAAAAGUGUCGAAAGAACGAAUGUUCAUCGAGAGCGUGUGGAAAAAAAAAAACAAAAAGAUUCGUCCUCGACGAUGACUUCGUCAAUGCCGGCGACGCGACGGACGAGACGGAUCGAGAUGAGAAAAAAGAAGACGACGACACACAGAGCAAGCAGGAGCGUACAAACGACGACGACACGCAGUGUGAAAGACACGCGGAGAUAAAAUUCUCUACGUGCAAUGACGGACAUCUCCUCUCACCGGCUUCCGGUGUGUACACGAAAAAGUGGAUUGGUACGGUUUUAGACAGUGUGCGCGUUGAGAAGGAGGCCAUACCAGAGAAGGGAUCGCUGUGCGCGACCCAGAAGAAAACCUGCUUCCCGUCUCGUAGCACCUGUCUCCCCGUUACACGUACAACCAUCUCAAGUUGGAAUGCAAAACGAUGAUCUUUAUGGUGUUUGGUGGUCGCGGAGAAAUCGAUGAGAGACGUCUGCAGAGCGGGCACCACGCCCAAAGCGAGGGAGGGUGAGAAGGUGC